AGGGGGCUAGGGCCGAGGGCAGGCGGCAAUGUCUGUGGAGAAAGAGGUUCCGUUCAAGUUUUCACAUCCGGGCUCGAAAGUACGGAGUAAGCAGUUUAGGGGGCCGCGGGGACGAAGUAAGACCCGGACACCCGGCGCACGGAACAAGGCCCACGUCCACAGGCGAUCGCAACCAGAGCCUUACUGCAAGAAGGCACAAGUGCAAGAGAAAGAAAAGGUGUGGACGCCCUGGAAUGGGCUCAUCGUGAUUGGGAAGAGAGUGGAACUUUUGGACAGAAACCUGCAAAAGUCUAAACUGUGGGACUCAAAGUUGGAAUCUGAGAACUGGAAGCUGGAAGUCGUCGGGAGGAAGAUUUCGAAAGAGAGAUCGGGCCUGCAUCAGGAAAGAGUGGACACGAAGCUCUUGAACAGUGUAGGAAAGACAUCACAAGCUUCAGCAAGUUUGGAGGAUGACAACUCAGAAGAGAUUCCGGGACAGCAGGAGGACAGACUCAAAGCUAGAUCUGUGUCUAAUAGUACCGAGAUGAAAGCAGAGCCUGAAGAAAGACUGCCAUCUAAGGACAAGUUGAGGACUAGUGGAGAGGACUUGAGGUCCAGAGGGGAUCAACCGAGGCAGAAUGAGGAGUUGGAAUCGAGUGGAGAGAACUUGAUGUACAAGACAGAGAAACGGGUGUCCAUGGGAGAGAAGGUGGAGGGCAGGAGAGAGAAGCGGAGGUCUGUUGUAGAGAAAAUGGACAGUCGAGAGAAACGGGGCUCCGUCAGAGAGAAGGUGCCAGGCAGUGGAGAGAGACGGGGCUCUAUCAGAGAGAAGGUGCCAGGCAGUGGAGAGAGACGGGUCUCUAUCAGACAGAAGGUGUCAGACAGGCGGAGAUCAAUCAAAGAGGUAUCAGACAAUGGAGAGAAACGGGGGUCCAUCAGAGAUAAGAUGUCAGACAGGAGGGGGUCCAUCAGAGAGAAGGUAUUGAACAGUGGAGAGAGGCGGGGGUCCAUCAGAGAGAAGGCAUUGGACAGUGGAGAGAAACAGGGGUCCAUCAGAGAGAAAGCAUCCAACAGCGGAGAGAAACGGGGCUCCAUCAGAGAGAAGGUGUCUGACAGUGGAGAGAGGCGGGGGUCCUCCAAAGAGAAGGCGAGGUCAAGUGAUGAAAAGCUGAGGUUGAGUAGAGAGAAAUUAAGGUCCAGUGAAGAGAAGCCUAGGACUGAUGAUAAAAAUCUGAGAUCUACUGAAGAUAAACUGGAGUCAGAUAUUGAGGAAGUACAAUCCGAUGAGAUGAAGCAGGAAGAACAUUCACAAACGAGUAGUACAACAGAAGAGAAUAUUGAAAGAGUGAUAAAUAUUACUGGUGAUGAAAGUGUGAUGGAAAAUAUGAGUCUGAAACAGAUUCCUUCUGAAAGUGUAGAAGGGAGAGAUGAACAAAAGGGAGCAGAGGAAGGGGUAGAAAUUAACAAAUUUGUCUUGGAUGAAAUGGAAGAUACUGCUGAUGACUCUGUUCCUAUGGAAGAGAAAGACACAAUUGGAAAAGGCUCUGGUGAAUCAGGUGGAUGAACAAUUGAAGACCUGUGUCUACCUGAGAGCAUCAUUUGAAGAUUCCUCUGGUGACUCUCUGUGAGCUGAGGUAUUGUCAGCUCUUUAAGAGACACCUUCUUAGGCUCAAGAUCAAGACAACAUUUGCCAUAUAUGGGAAAUGACCUACAUAUCAGGAUACAGAGAUUCUGUCUUUGGCUGGGUGAGUUCUUUGCCUGAGCUGUCAGAUGCAUUCCACCAAGACCACAGACACCAGUGAAGAUCAAGUUAUUAUGACAAAUGCCAACUGCCUGCAGGAUACCCAAACACACCAGUGGACAAAGACCCACUCCCUCAGAGGAGCCACUCAGUCCAAGGCAUUUGGAAACCAGAAGACAACAGAGAUUUUUAUUAACCAUUGAACAGACUCCCUCUCUAAGUUUCUGGUAUGUGGAUUAUUAUUGUCUCAAAUUUUGCUGCUGCUCAAGAAUUUUUGACAUAGCCAGGAAAAAACCCAGACUCCGGGCCUGUUCCUCCCCUUGUCUUAGUACUUCAGACGGUGGACUCGGACUUGGUGUUAAAAAAUUUACAAGCCCAUCUGGUCAAAGAGUAUAUCAGUAGGACCCACUGCCACUUAGCCACACCCAGACAGUCACUGUCAUCUGGCUUACCAAGAAAAACGGGAC
Phodopus roborovskii (desert hamster) is the source of this 2187-nucleotide RNA transcript. It is a transcript of the gene named splicing regulatory glutamine/lysine-rich protein 1, with no coding region annotated. The transcript has 4 exons. The record is from RefSeq and is a predicted model, not a curated record. NCBI's taxonomy places the organism in Eukaryota, Metazoa, Chordata, Mammalia, Rodentia, Cricetidae.